AGAGUUUGAUCAUGGCUCAGAUUGAACGCUGGCGGCACGCCUAACACAUGCAAGUCGAACGGCAACAGGCGUAUAUUGAAAGAUAUACGUGCUGGCGAGUGGCGGACGGGUGAGUAAAGCGUAGGGAUCUGCCUUAAGACUGGGAUAACUCGGGGAAACUCGGGCUAAUACUGGAUGACCUCUGAGGAGGAAAGGCUGCC
Molecule: ribosomal RNA, 200 nt
Filed under: uncultured bacterium
Lineage: Bacteria
Description: partial 16S ribosomal RNA
Rfam family: Bacterial small subunit ribosomal RNA
Source: RNAcentral